GCUAAAAAGAAGUGCAGAACUGGUUCGAUCCUAUCUAAAAAGAAGUGCAGAACUGGUUCGAUCCUAUUUGGUUGAUCAAAGAGAAGAGAUGGCAA
Magallana angulata is the source of this 95-nucleotide long non-coding RNA. RefSeq lists it as uncharacterized. Lineage: Eukaryota; Metazoa; Mollusca; Bivalvia; Ostreida; Ostreidae. The record is from RefSeq and is a predicted model, not a curated record. The transcript is spliced from 3 exons.